RNAcentral lists this ribosomal RNA (404 nucleotides) under uncultured prokaryote. RNAcentral describes it as "bacterial SSU rRNA". It matches the Rfam family "Bacterial small subunit ribosomal RNA", at positions 355 to 776 of the family's 1533-position model. The record is from RNAcentral. RNAcentral also lists the same sequence under 1 other name.
UGGGGAAUAUUGCACAAUGGGCGCAAGCCUGAUGCAGCGAUGCCGCGUGAGGGAAGAAGGUUUUAGGAUUGUAAACCUCUGUCUUCAGGGACGAUAAUGACGGUACCUGAGGAGGAAGCUCCGGCUAACUACGUGCCAGCAGCCGCGGUAAUACGUAGGGAGCGAGCGUUGUCCGGAAUUACUGGGUGUAAAGGGAGUGUAGGCGGGACUGCAAGUCAGAUGUGAAAUGUAGGGGCUCAACCCCUGCCCUGCAUUUGAAACUGUGGAUCUUGAGUGAAGUAGAGGUAAGCGGAAUUCCUAGUGUAGCGGUGAAAUGCGUAGAUAUUAGGAGGAACAUCAGUGGCGAAGGCGGCUUACUGGGCUUUUACUGACGCUGAGGCUCGAAAGCGUGGGGAGCAAACAGG